ACGGGAGGCAGCAGUGAGGAAUAUUGGACAAUGGAUGGAAGUCUGAUCCAGCCAUGCCGCGUGAAGGAUUGAUGCCCUACGGGUUUUGAACUUCUUUUGUACGGGGGCAAUAAGGUCCACGCGUGGACCGAUGAGAGUACCGUACGAGUAAGCAUCGGCUAACUCCGUGCCAGCAGCCGCGGUAAUACGGAGGAUGCGAGCGUUAUCCGGAUUUAUUGGGUUUAAAGGGUGCGUAGGCGGUUGGCCAAGUCAGCGGUGAAAUCCGGGGGCUCAACCCGGGAACUGCCGUUGAAACUGGCGGGCUUGAAUGGUGCCGCCGCAGGCGGAAUGUGUGGAGUAGCGGUGAAAUGCAUAGAUAUCACACAGAACACCGAUUGUGGAGACAGCAUGCGAGACACAUAUUGACGCUGAGGCACGAAGGUGCGGGGAUCGAACAGGAUUAGAUACCCUGGUA
This 454-nucleotide ribosomal RNA is filed under the name uncultured Porphyromonadaceae bacterium. Its description in RNAcentral is "bacterial SSU rRNA". It matches the Rfam family "Bacterial small subunit ribosomal RNA", at positions 341 to 792 of the family's 1533-position model. Lineage: Bacteria; Pseudomonadati; Bacteroidota; Bacteroidia; Bacteroidales; Porphyromonadaceae. The record is from RNAcentral.